UGGGGAGUGGCCAAGUGGUAAGGCAACGGGUUUUGGUCCCGCUAUUUGGAGGUUUGAAUCCUUCCGUCCUAG
Transfer RNA from Vitis vinifera (wine grape), 72 nucleotides. It matches the Rfam family "tRNA". From Rfam's summary of the family: Transfer RNA (tRNA) molecules are approximately 80 nucleotides in length. Lineage: Eukaryota; Viridiplantae; Streptophyta; Magnoliopsida; Vitales; Vitaceae. The record is from Rfam.